GAGGCCAAGUCCACCAGGGAUCGUGGCACGUUACAUAGUGGUGCCCCGAACAGCGACAGAAUCAGGUGCUCUACAAGUGGCACUCAAACAGGCGACAGUCUGAACACGGGACUAUGAGGAUGUGAAUGAAGAAGAUUUCCUGGAACAGAGGAACUGAAAUUGACAACGCAAAUGGGGACCCUGGGAUGAGUCAGCUGGCAGCGCACGUGAGGUCAGUGCCUAAAGAGGUACUGGGAUCAGUUCCUUAAAGAAGUACUGGGAAUGGGAAGUUUUCUGAAUCAGGGUAACAUGGGGCAGAAUUUGUCUGCUGAAAAAAAAAAAUUAUGUGCAGUUGCUUAGAGUUUUGUUGAAACAAACUGGUGCUCAGGUUAGUUCUCAGACAUUAACUUAGCUGCUGCAGGAGGUUAUUACACAUAACCCAUGGUUUCCACAGGCAGCACCCUUGAUGUGGAAAAUUGGGACAGAGCAGAAGGAUUAAAAUGGGCUCAUCAAAAAGGUCUUAAAAUUGAUCCUUCUGUUUUCUCCACUUGGAGUUUAGUUCGUACUGUACUUCUGCCAUUAUCUCCUUAUUAUUCUGUGAGACAACAGGCUGAAUCUAAAAAUCCGAAAGAAUCUGUUGUCCCACUCACACCUCCAAAUGGAAAUAAAAAACAGGAGAGGGAGGAUAAAAAUUGGCCUAUACAGCCUCCUCCAGUUGCAGAAACAUCUGUACUGCCUCCUUUGGUAGCAGAACUAGAGACCCCAAUACAAAGAAUUUUAUGCUCUGCUGCCAUAGCUGGAGAGCCCCUAGGACCUUGCACUUUUCCUAUUUCCAUAAGGCCUGAUCCAAACAAUCCACAGCAGGUUAUUCAUGAACACACCCCACUAGAGUAAGUUGUUGAAGGAAUUAAAAGCGAGAGUGGUAAAUCAUGGCAUACAGAGCCGAUUGACCUUAGGAUUGCUAGAAUCUGUGUUUGGUGCUAUGCGUUUUUUACCCUUUGAUGUGAGACACUUGAUGCGAACUUGCUUGUCCACUAGUGCAUAUCUGACAUGGAAUUUAAAUUGGCAAGACAUGUGUGCAGACCAGGCUAAACAGAACCAUGUUGCUGGACACGGAGACAUUACAGAGGGUAUGCUAUUAGGUCAUGGCCCUUAUUCAGACCUGGAAAGUCAAAUGGCACUCCCAGACGCUGCUUAACAGCAGUGUGCACAGGCUGUUAAAUGCACCUGGGCCACAGUUCCUGAAGAGGGAGUCCCAGUACAAUCCUUUUUAAAUAUGCAAGGGUCACAGGGACCCUAUGUGCAAUUUCUUACAAGAUCACAAGAGGCAGUGAAGCGUCAGAUUCCUCAUACCACGGCUGCAGAAAUGCUAACCUUAACUCUAGCUUUUGAGGAUGCAAACGCGGAUUGUAAACAUGCACUGGCACUGGUGAGGUGUAUAAAAAACUUGGGAAAUUUUCUCAGAGCUUGUCAAGAUGUAGGAACUGAGCUUCAUCACUUUGCAAUAUUAGCGCAAGCAGUGGCUAAUUUAGCAGUUGACAAAUCUAAAAGGAGCCAAGGGUCAAACCCUAAAGUGGGAAAAUGUUAUAAUUGUGGAAAACCUGGACAUUUUAAAAAGGAAUACCGCCAGAUCUCAGGACAGAAAGGACCUUACAAUGCAGUGCCCCACCCAGUGGAAAAAAUGCCAGGACUUUGUCCUUGCGUAACAGAGGAAAUAACCGGGCUAAUCAGUGCCGCUCAAAAUUUCAUCAGAAUGGCACCCCCCUGCUGGGAAAUGAGAUGGGGGCCUGGACCCAGGCCCCACAAACAAUGAGGGCAUUCCCAGUCCAGACCUCAACCCCGUUCCAGGCAUGGGUUCCCAGAGGCACAUUGAUUCCCUCACCCCAGGAACACAAGGAGUGCAGGAUUAGAUCUCCCAGUCAAAGAAUGGGUAAUGUUAGUUGGGGCAGACAAACCCAUCAAAGUUCCCACUGAUAUUUGGGGACCUUUAUCAGCAGGAUAUGUGGAACUAAUUUUAGGCAAGAUCUGCCUUAACUUACAGGGCAUUACUGUAGUCCCAGAAGUUGUUGACUGAUUAUGAAGGAGAAGUUCAAGUAGUUUUAAUGUCACAAGAUCUUUGGGGUUUUGAGCUGGGACAAUAUACUGCUCAAUUAUUGCUUAUUCCCUGCAAAUCACACCCUUCUCCAUGAAAGGAGAAAUGAGAAAAUAAAGAGGUUGGGAGCACAACUACAUGGGAAAUCUAUCUAUCCCAACCCAUAGCCUCGAAUAGACCUACCUGUGUAGUACACAUUAAAGGAAAGAAAUUUUAUGGGCUUAUGGAUAUGGGAGCUGAUGUGUCAGUCAUAUCUAAAGACAGUUGGCCCCCAUCCUGGCCCUUGCAAUUAACUUCUACAUCCCUAGUGGGAGUAGGAACAGCUCAAAGUGUUCAACAGAGCACUGAGAUUUUACCUUGUCUUGGUCCAGAUGGACAGUCAUGUACUUUUCAGUCUUAUGUUGAAAAUAUAGCUAUCAAUUUAUGGGGUUGAGACUUACUUAUAACAUGGAAUAUGAGACUUACAAAUGAAAACUUUGAUAACCCAGGAUUUAAAAUGUUGAAGAACAUGGGAUAUCAGAGGGGAAAAUGUUUAGGAAAAUUUCUUCAAGGAAAUCCUAACCCAAUAUCAGUAACUGGAAAAACAGAUAGAAAAGGGCUAGGACGUCAGGAUUUCUGAUGAGGGUCAUUGAUAUUUCUCCUCUGCCCGCUGCCUCACUAUUAGAAUGGCUCAGUGACAAACCCGUGUGGGUGGAUCAAUGGCCCCUAUCUCAGGAGAACCUGAUGCAACUUCAGCAGCUAGUAAAAGAACAAUGGGAUGCCGGACACAUAAGCCUGGAAUUCUCCAGUGUUUGUUUUUCCAAAAAAGUCCGGAAGAUGGCGGCUACUACAUGAUUUAAGAGCUACUACAUGAUUUAAGAGCUAUUCAUGUACACAUAAAACUGAUGGGUGCCUUACAAAAACUGUCACCAUCUCCAGCGGCUAUUCCAAGAGACUGGCCUCUUGUAGUAAUAGAUCUUAAGGAUUGUUUCUUUACUACACCCUUACACGAGAACGAUAAGCCUUGAUUUGCAUUCUCUGUGCCUUCUAUUAAUCAAAGAGAACCUGUUUCUCAUUAUCAAUGGAGAGUUUUACCCCAAGGCAUGCUUAACAGUCCUACGCUAUGUCAGCAUUUUGUAGGACAGGCAUUAAAGAAGCCUCGGAAUAUGUUUCCUACUGCUUACAUCAUUCAUUAUAUGGAUGAUAUUCUUUUGGCUGCUCCUACAGAUCAAAACCUACAUCAGCUAUUCAGAGAAACAAAGCAGGCUUUGACUAAAUGGAAUCUCAAAAUAGCUCUAGAAAAGGUACAAACAACUUCCCCAUACCAAUACUUAGGAACUAUUGUUACAGAGAGAAGUGUAUGGACUCAGAAAGUAGUUCUCCAUAAAGACAGGUUAUAGACUUUAAAUGAUUUUCAGCAGUUAUUAGGAGAUAUUAAUUGGCCAUGACCGAUGUUAGGUAUUGCUACCUAUCAACUUACACAUAUUUACCAAACCCUGCACGGAGAUUCUUUAAAUUCCCUGCGGCAACUAACUAAAGAGGCAGAAGCCAAAUUACAGCUUGUAGAGCAAAUGUUACAGCAGAGACAUGCCUCAUGGCUACAACCACAAAAACCUUUGCUUUUGUUUAUUCUUCCUACCCCCUACUCUCCAACAGGACUUUUGGGCCAGUUUAUAGACUAGUCUGUAACAGUAAUAGAAUGGUUCUUUCUAUCUAAUCAAACAGUCAAAACCUUGCAAGUUUAUCUUUCUUUAAUUACACAAAUUGUGACUAUGGGCAGGCAUAGGUCACAAAUGCUUACAGGAUAUGAUCCUGACAAAAUUAUUGUUCCUUUAGACUCUCAGCAACAAGCUGCAGCUUGGGAAAUGUCAACUGCCUGGCAAACUGCUUUCGCAGACUUCAUGGGCGCGAUAGAUAACCACUACUCUCAGACAACAUUUUACAGUUUUAUAAAAUCCAUUCUCUCAUUCUUCCUGUGAUUACUCAUCACCGACCUAUUCCAGGUGGACAGACUUAUUUUACUGAUGGCUCUUCCGAAGGUCAUGCCGCCAUCUAUGGACCAAAACAUACUCAAACCAUAAGGAUCUCUGGGGUUUCAGGUCAAUGCUCAGAGCUAGUUGCAGUCAGCUGUGAGGUUUUACAGCUCACAGCUUCAGAUCCUAUCAACUGCAGGGAGCCGAAGGCCCAUGGGACGGGACCAACUCAGCAUUCCACUGGAGGCUAUAUGAUCAAACAGCAAACUGUUUAUCAUGAAUGCAGGAUGUGGGCAAACUCACACUGCCCUGCCACCAAAAGGUUUGUGGAGGGCCUCACUCCCUGGCUCCUUGAAGUUAUCUAUCGAGAGUUAUCUAUUGAGAAAUCUAGUGCCUACUGUUUUAAGAAUGCAGUCUUGCAAGCCUGCUGUGAAUCAGGCUGCUAGCCAGCAACCACCCCCCCACUUCCUGCUAUCUCUUUUGCCUGAUAAAUAUGGAGGGCUGUGUAAAGCUCAGGGCCAUUGUCCACUAGAGGCGAGCUGCCCCCUGACCGCUUCUUCCAAAUAUACUCUUUUAUCUCUUGUCUUUUAUUCCCACGCUCGUCCCCUUUGUUCAGUCCAUCAGGGAUCGUGGCAGGCUACAAUCAACAUUGUCAACCAUAAAGACAGGUUACAGACUUUAAAUGAUUUUCAGCAAUUAUUAGGAGAUAUUAAUUGGCUACGCCCGAUGUUAGGUAUUGCUACCUAUCAACUUACACAUCUUUACCAAACCCUGCAAGGAGAUUCUUCUUGUUCAGCUUAUGUUGUAAAUUUAGCCAUUCGCACAGAAACUGCUACAGUUAAAAGUACACUAGACCCAGAACUGCUUAAUUUGUUUCACUUAUUCUCAUAUGCUGCAUGGUACAUGCCAAACAGGUGAGACAGCUGGUCAUGUACAGCGACAUUGUCUGUCAUCAUUUGCUCAUAUGGGAAUACCUAAACAAUUAAAAAUUGACAAUGGACCCGCUUAUACUAGUCAUGCUUUUCAAAAUUUCCUACAGCUUUGGGCUAUAACCCAUAAAACAGGAAUUCCUUAUAAUCCUAGAGGACAAGGCAUUAUAGAAUGGGCACAUCAAACAUUACAACGAAUGUUGAAAAGACAAAAAGGGGGUAUAGGAGGCCAACUACCACCUCAAUCAAAACUACAUUUAGCCUUAUUUACUUUAAAAUUUUUGACUCCUGGUACGGAUGGUAAGACUCCAGCAGGAAGACAUUGGCAAGUGUUAGAGGAAAAGAGGAAAGUUUAUCUGAAAGUGUUAUGGAAAUCCCCAGAAGAAGGACAAUGGAAAGGCCCGGUGGAUUUACUGACAUGGGGAAGAGGGUAUGCUUGUGUGUUUACAGGAGAUGGACAAGCCAUGUGGGUGCCCUCAAGGUGCUUGCAACCCUGGAAUGGGAGACUGGAGAAACACGGGGUGGCCAACCAUGGGCCCGGUCCCUCCGAUAUGAGCCAUGAGUCAGCUGAGCCUGAGUGCAAAGAUGGAGAGAAGGCCGACUGGACUCACGACACAGUCUUAAUGUUACAUUUGUAAAGAAUAUCACCACUCAAUUUGUGGUUUGUGUUUUUAAUCCUUAUGUCUUUUUGGCUGCUCAGAAGGACCAGCUCCGGGUAAACAAUACCCAAUUGACCUGUAAAUCUUGCCAGUUAUAUCACUGCAUUAAUCAUAGCACAUUGCGAACACAUAAUAUCUCGACUUUGAUGAUUUUAGGUUGCAUCCCUGGGCUAGGGAUUCCUGUUAAUCUGUCCGAGGCUUGGGCUCCACACCUGCUUUGCAUUUUGUGAAACUUCUUCUACCUCAGGUUACUCAUUGUGCCCGUAGAGCCUUAGGCAUGAUAAUUUUUGCUAUCGUUUCCUUGGUCACACUAAUAACUUCUGUUGUGAUGUCCUCUGUAACUUUGCAUAGUUCUGUUCAAACGGCUCAGUACGUAGAGAAUUGGACACGUACAGCCAACCAAGCGAGGCUACUUCAGAAUAAAAUUAACACUGAGCUACAAACUGAAGUGGCAAUGUUGAAAUCCAUGGUUCUGUGGUUAGGGGAACAAGUAUAAAGCUUGCAGUUGCAGUGGCAAUUGCACUGUCAUUUUAAUCACACUCGUAUUUGUGCAACCAACUUAGAAUAUAACGAAAGUGAGUAUCUGUGGGACCUUGUGAAAGCCCAUUUGCAAGGAGCUUUCACAUCCAACACCACCUUUGAUAUUAGUGAAUUACAAAACAAAAUUCUUGAUUUAAAUAGGCAAACUCAAGAAUUUCAGCCUUCUUUAGAAGACUGGACUGAAUUCCAGGAAGGCCUGGAGAGCCUCAACCCUUGGACCUAUCUAAGGCACCACAUUAACAUCUUAUAUGUAGUUCUUGGAGUAAUGUUGUUUUGUCUCUGUCUUCUGUUUAUAGUCUGUAAAAUCGGAUGGACCGCCAAUCGGAGAAUGAGAGCUGCCCAGCCUGGUCUUACAUUCUUUCAAUUAAUUCAUAAACAGGGGGAUAUGCAGGGAGCCGAAGGCCCAUGGGACGUGACCAACUCAGCAUUCCACUGGAGGCUAUAUGAUCAAACAGCAAACUGUUUAUCAUGAAUACAGGAUGUGAGCAAACUCACGACUGUGCCUGCCGCCAGAAGGUUUGCUGAGGGCAAUCGCUUCCUGACGCCGAGCUCUUUGAAGUUAUCUACUGGAACAUCUAGAGAAUGCAGUCUUGCAAGCCUACUCUGGACCAACCAACUGACCUCUUCUUCCACCCCUCUUCUCACUAUCGCUUUUGUCUAAUAAAUACAGAGGGCCGUGUAAAGCUCAGGGCCUUGUCCACUAGAGGCAAGGUGCCCCCGGACCCCUUCUUCCAAAUAUACUCUUUUGUCUCUUGUCUUUUAUUCCCGCGUUCACCCCCCUUUGUUCAGUCCACCAGGGAUCAUGGCAGGUUACAUAGUGGCGCCCCGAACAGCGACAGAAUCGGGUGCUCAAUAGAUCCUCAUAUAUAACUAUAAUUGGAGCCCCAAUGUAAAGUCCAUAAAUUUUUGUCAAUUUGAGCAUUUUUGCUGUUGUUGAAGUUAAGUUAGUACCUAUGUUGUAAAGGCACAAAACCAAAUCAGUGCCUUUUUAUCCUUUCGUUACAUAAAUUUUUUGGUAUAAAAAUUAAUAUAUGAAUUUUGAAUUCCCAAUCAAAUCAAAUUGUAAAACUUUGUUUUGAUGCAGUUAUAUAUUAAAUG
Molecule: long non-coding RNA, 7249 nt
Filed under: Pan troglodytes (chimpanzee)
Lineage: Eukaryota; Metazoa; Chordata; Mammalia; Primates; Hominidae
Description: long non-coding RNA NONPTRT008600
Source: RNAcentral